UACGGCCAAAUCACAUUGAAACACCAGCACCCACACGAUCACCGCAGUUAAGCAACGCCAAGCCUGGUUAGUAAAUUGAUCUGUGACUGCAUGGGAAUACCAGGUGCU
Acanthosepion pharaonis is the source of this 108-nucleotide non-coding RNA. NCBI's taxonomy places the organism in Eukaryota, Metazoa, Mollusca, Cephalopoda, Sepiida, Sepiidae. The record is from the annotation of a GenBank genome assembly.